AGUUGAUCCUCAAAGACUUUGGAUUUUUAACCCACAGUAACAAGGAAACUUGAUUUCAAAAUUGGGCUUUAAUACUUUGGGACCUUAAUUCAUAAGAGCGUUUAAUGUGUGCCCUUUUAAUUUCUCUGUGAAGAAUUUGAUACUGGUAGAGGUGUACUUUCAAAUUUGCAACAUUUCUAUGAUUUCUGAAUUGUAUUACUGGAUGCUUUUAUGUAUUUAAUCUUAGUUUGUCAUUUAACCUCAUCAGCUUUCUAUGGUUAGCUGUGCUGUGGAUGGCUGGUAAACAAAAAGUUGUUUCUGAUCAUUGGAUAUGAGUAGCCCUGGAGUUAAUUUAAAUUAAAGCAAUUUCUCACCCAUAUCAGAGACUUCUGGGAUGAAACUCUAAGUCGACCACCAGUAGUUCCCAGAGGCCACUAAAAUGAGUAACCCCAUAAAAGUGUGAGCAGGACUGUCCUGAUAAAGGUCUUUUCUUUGUCCUGAAGGGAGAGCCAUAUUCCGUUAAUUACAGGCUUAAAGGCAUAGUUGAGUGGGUUAAGAGAUUGAAAAAAACAGGGAAACAUUAGUGAAACAGGGAAGCAUUAGUGACAAUUUCCCUUCUCGUUCCUAAUGGUACCAGCAUGUGAAGGGAAUUUGAGUAGUAUAACUUUUAACCUCCCUGCUCUUAUAUUCACUGACACUGGCUAGGUGAGGUGACCUACUUGACUGGCAAAGUUGGGAAGAAUAACUGGCCAUGCUUUGCUAAGCUCUUCUUUCCUUCAUCUUGGGAGUGAGUCUGGUGAUAGAGAGACAAAAGUUCUCUGCUCCAUUGUGGACAUGCCCCUUUCACAUGGGUUUGCCUGGAACCAACUUGCUGCAACAAAGUGGGCCUCUCACUGUUGUGGCCUCUCCCGUAGCGGAGCACAGGCUCCGGACGC
Long non-coding RNA from Aethalodelphis obliquidens (Pacific white-sided dolphin), 914 nucleotides. RefSeq lists it as uncharacterized. NCBI's taxonomy places the organism in Eukaryota, Metazoa, Chordata, Mammalia, Artiodactyla, Delphinidae. The record is from RefSeq and is a predicted model, not a curated record. The transcript is spliced from 3 exons.